UAAUACGUAUGGUGCGAACGUUAUUCGGAAUUACUGGGCAUAAAGGGCGCGUAGGCGGUUUGGUAAGCCUGUAUGUGAAAUCCCUCGGCUUAACCGAGGAACUGCAUCGGAUACUGCCAGACUAGAGUGCAGGAGGGGAGAGCGGAAUUCCUGGUGGAGCGGUGAAAUGCGUAGAUAUCAGGAGGAACGCCAGUGGCGAAAGCGGCUCUCUGGCCUGCAACUGACGCUGAGGCGCGAAAGCUAGGGGAGCAAACGGGAUUAGAUACCCCGGUAGUCCUAGCUGUAAACGAUGGGUACUAGGUAGAGGAAGUUCUAUAGCUUUCUCUGCUGUAGCUAAUGUAUUAAGUACCCCGCCUGGGGAGUAUGGUCGCAAGGCUA
Molecule: ribosomal RNA, 378 nt
Filed under: uncultured Planctomycetota bacterium
Lineage: Bacteria; Pseudomonadati; Planctomycetota
Description: bacterial SSU rRNA
Rfam family: Bacterial small subunit ribosomal RNA
Source: RNAcentral